CUCUAAAACAAAUGCAAGAGGAAGAAGUCGCGUACCUGCUUUGUUAGAGGCGACGGAGACGAUGGCGAAGCUCUGGCUGGAACGCUGGUGGUGACUUUCGUCUGCUGAACGAAGACAAUGGUUUUUCCUCUGAUUUUCUCUCCUCUUCUCAGUGUUCUGGGUUGUUCAUCACUGGUUUUCUUUUUUUUCUUGCAGGGACGAAGACAAUGGCAGGGCUGAUCUGUGACUCUCCUCUGCCUUUCUCUCCUUCUCUGUGUAUAUAUAUUUUUUGGGUUUAUGCUCUGUUUCUUUUCUGUGAUUUGCUCUGUUUUUGGGUUUUUUGUCUGGGUUUAGCUUCAGUUCUGCCCCUCCCUGUUUUCGUCUUUCACCCCUCGGUUCUUGGCCUGUUCGUCCCUCUCUGUUUUCUGGGUUUUUCCUCUGGGUUUUACUUGAGUUUUCUUCGUCCUCUACUUUGGGUUUUUCUUCCCCUUUUAUAGAGACCCAGCAGCUUGCCUCUAACCAGUCCUACCUUUGCAGGACUGUUAUCUUCCACGAACGAGAUCAUGGGCAAGAGACGUGGUCCAUGAUUGGAUCUGUUGCAGAUUUUCAGGUCUCCGGUUAAAUCGGGAUGAAGAAGAUCACACGACUGUUCCACCAGCAACGACGACGUUUCGGCCAAAAGACACAUUUUCAUUUUGACCCCUGCUUCUUUGGAAAUUCGGCAAUUGGACCUCUAAGCAAUUAAAAUUUUCUUUUAAUUU
This is a long non-coding RNA of Populus trichocarpa (black cottonwood), 740 nucleotides long. RefSeq lists it as uncharacterized. The transcript has 2 exons. The record is from RefSeq and is a predicted model, not a curated record. Lineage: Eukaryota; Viridiplantae; Streptophyta; Magnoliopsida; Malpighiales; Salicaceae.